UACGUAGGCAGCAAACGUUGUUCGGAAUUACUGGGCGUAAAGAGUGUGUAGGCGGUUCUGUAAGUUCUGUGUGAAAUCUCCCGGCUUAACUGGGAGGGUGCGCCGAAAACUGCAGGGCUUGAGUACUGGAGAGGAUAGCGGAAUUCCUGGAGUAGCGGUGAAAUGCGUAGAUAUCAGGAGGAACACCGGCGGUGUAGACGGCUGUCUGGACAGUAACUGACGCUGAGACACGAAAGCGUGGGGAGCAAACAGG
Molecule: ribosomal RNA, 253 nt
Filed under: uncultured bacterium
Lineage: Bacteria
Description: partial 16S ribosomal RNA
Rfam family: Bacterial small subunit ribosomal RNA
Source: RNAcentral